Non-coding RNA from Salmo salar (Atlantic salmon), 53 nucleotides. The record is from Rfam. NCBI's taxonomy places the organism in Eukaryota, Metazoa, Chordata, Actinopteri, Salmoniformes, Salmonidae.
UGCAUUCACUACUGUAAGUCGCUCUGAAAAGAGCGUCUGCUAAAUGACUGAAA